RNAcentral lists this unclassified non-coding RNA (183 nucleotides) under rhizosphere metagenome. Its description in RNAcentral is "partial ribosomal RNA internal transcribed spacer region". The record is from RNAcentral.
GAGAUCAUGCCCUUCGGGGUAGACCUCCCACCCUGUGUUAUUUACUCUUGUUGCUUUGGCAGGCCGCCUUCGGGCUCCCGGCUUCGGCUGGGGCGCGCCUGCCAGAGGACCCCAACUCUGUAAUAAAUGUCGUCUGAGUACUAUAUAAUAGUUAAAACUUUCAACAACGGAUCUCUUGGUUCU